RNAcentral lists this transfer RNA (89 nucleotides) under Mycobacterium paragordonae. RNAcentral's name for it is "tRNA-Gly". The record is from RNAcentral. Lineage: Bacteria; Bacillati; Actinomycetota; Actinomycetes; Mycobacteriales; Mycobacteriaceae.
CACCCGGCAGAGUGGUGCGACGCACGCCUCCCUUUUCCGGGGGGAGGGCGCCCCCGGAGUCAGCUGCUGACCGUCGCGGCAUCGGCUGC